AGGACGAACGCUGGCGGCGCGCUUAACACAUGCAAGUCGAACGUGAAGCCCGGGCUUGCCCGGGUGGAAAGUGGCGAACGGGUGCGUAACACGUGAGCAACCUACCCCGAAGACCGGAAUAACCCAAGGAAACUCGGGCUAAUACCGGAUGCCCUCACCUCGUCGCAUGGCGAGAUGAGGAAAUGGAUUCCGCUUCGGGAUGGGCUCGCGGCCUAUCAGCUUGUUGGUGGGGUAACGGCCUACCAAGGCGACGACGGGUAGCUGGUCUGAGAGGAUGUCCAGCCACACUGGGACUGAGACACGGCCCAGACUCCUACGGGAGGCAGCAGUGGGGAAUCUUGCGCAAUGGGCGAAAGCCUGACGCAGCGACGCCGCGUGCGGGAUGACGGCCUCGGGUUGUAAACCGCUUUCAGCAGGGACGAUUGUGACGGUACCUGCAGAAGAAGCCCGGCAACUACGUGCCAGCAGCCGC
RNAcentral lists this ribosomal RNA (472 nucleotides) under uncultured bacterium. RNAcentral describes it as "SSU rRNA". It matches the Rfam family "Bacterial small subunit ribosomal RNA", at positions 26 to 518 of the family's 1533-position model. The record is from RNAcentral.